AGAGAGAGACAUGCGCGCAUAUCAAUAAGCGGAGGAAAAGAAACUAACAAGGAUUCCCUUAGUAACGGCGAGUGAAGCGGGAAGAGCUCAAAUUUGAAAUCUUCAAGGCUUUACCUUGACGAAUUGUAGUUUAUAGAAGUGUUUUCUGUUAGUGGUUUGGCAAAAGUUCUUUGGAAUAGGACAUCAUAGAGGGUGAGAAUCCCGUAUUUGGUCAUUCCUCCUAGCGUUGUGAUACACUUUCAACGAGUCGGAUUGUUUGGGAAUGCAGUCCAAAAUGGGUGGUAAAUUUCAUCUAAAGCUAAAUAUUGGCGAGAGACCGAUAGCGAACAAGUACCGUGAGGGAAAGAUGAAAAGAACUUUGAAAAGAGAGUUAAACAGUACGUGAAAUUGUCAAAAGGGAAGCGUUUGACACCAGUGUUGUUUUUCCGAAAAUCAAUUACGAAUGUUUUAUUUUUGAGGAGUUAUGACUUCAUCGGCUUGCUCCUUUCUUUAUGAAACUUUCUUAAUGCACUUUUCGGUUAACAAGUCAACAUCAAUUUCUUUUGUUGUAAAAGGGUAUGAGGAAGGUGGCUUUCUUUUCGGAGAAAGUGUUUAUAGCCUUGUGCCUCUGCAAUCGGAGAGAUUGAGGUCUGCAGCGUAGAUCCUUCGGGGUUAGAUACGUUUGUGCUAAGUUAUAGCUUUUCAUAGACAACUUGUUGACUAUGUUUAGUCUUGUAGCUUACUCGCUGACGCUAUUUUACCUACGCUUAGGAUGUUGAUAGUCACAGCGUGUAC
Molecule: ribosomal RNA, 774 nt
Filed under: uncultured Neocallimastigales
Lineage: Eukaryota; Fungi; Neocallimastigomycota; Neocallimastigomycetes; Neocallimastigales
Description: partial large subunit ribosomal RNA
Rfam family: Eukaryotic large subunit ribosomal RNA
Source: RNAcentral